RNAcentral lists this ribosomal RNA (489 nucleotides) under Triticum aestivum (bread wheat). RNAcentral's name for it is "partial small subunit ribosomal RNA". The record is from RNAcentral. Lineage: Eukaryota; Viridiplantae; Streptophyta; Magnoliopsida; Poales; Poaceae.
AUGGCGGGCAUGGUGUUCGGCUUGGAGAACCCGAUGAUGACGGCGCUCCAGCACCUGCUGGACAUCCCAGAUGGCGAGGCCGGCGGAGCCGGUGCCGGCCGCGGCGAGAAGCAGGGCCCGACGCGCGCCUACGUCCGGGAUGCGCGCGCCAUGGCGGCCACCCCGGCGGACGUGAAGGAGCUGCCGGGCGCGUACGCGUUCGUGGUGGACAUGCCGGGGCUGGGUUCCGGCGACAUCAAGGUGCAGGUGGAGGACGAGCGGGUGCUGGUGAUCAGCGGCGAGCGGAGCAGGGAGGAGGAGGAGGACGCCAAGUACCUGCGGAUGGAGCGCCGCAUGGGCAAGCUGAUGCGCAAGUUCGUGCUCCCCGAGAACGCCGACAUGGAGAAGAUCUCCGCCGCGUGCCGCGACGGCGUGCUGACCGUCACCGUCGAGAAGCUGCCGCCGCCCGAGCCCAAGAAGCCCAAGACCAUCCAGGUCCAGGUUGCCUGA